Molecule: unclassified non-coding RNA, 371 nt
Filed under: soil metagenome
Description: partial contains 5.8S ribosomal RNA, internal transcribed spacer 2, and large subunit ribosomal RNA
Rfam family: 5.8S ribosomal RNA (bases 1-120)
Source: RNAcentral
GAUGAAGAACGCAGCGAAAUGCGAUAAGUAAUGUGAAUUGCAGAAUUCAGUGAAUCAUCGAAUCUUUGAACGCACAUUGCGCCCCCUGGAAUUCCAGGGGGCAUGCCUGUUCGAGCGUCUCAGGGACGAACCCUCGCGCGGGUGUACGCGCGGUCGUGGCUGCGGUGGCGUGCCCGAGGCGGCGGCCACCGCGCUGGAAUCCAUGGGCGGACGCCUGCCGCGUGGCCGAGCGUGAUAUGACGCAUUGGCGCUCGCACGCGGCGAGGCUGCCAGCCCUGGCCCGUCUGUCGGGCGGGGGAGAGCAAGACACGUGAACUCCUCGAAUCAGGUAGGGAUACCCGCUGAACUUAAGCAUAUCAAUAAGCGGAGGA